RNAcentral lists this ribosomal RNA (466 nucleotides) under uncultured bacterium. Its description in RNAcentral is "partial 16S ribosomal RNA". It matches the Rfam family "Bacterial small subunit ribosomal RNA", at positions 28 to 507 of the family's 1533-position model. The record is from RNAcentral.
GAUGAACGCUGGCGGCGUGCUUAACACAUGCAAGUCGAACGGAAAGGCUCCUGCUUGCAGGGGUACUCGAGUGGCGAACGGGUGAGUAACACGUGGGUGAUCUGCCCUGCACUUCGGGAUAAGCCUGGGAAACUGGGUCUAAUACCGGAUAGGACGAUGGUUUGGAUGCCAUUGUGGAAAGUUUUUUCGGUGUGGGAUGAGCUCGCGGCCUAUCAGCUUGUUGGUUGGGUAAUGGCCUACCAAGGCGUCGGCGGGUAGCCGGCCUGAGAGGGUGUACGGCCACAUGAGGACUGAGAUACGGCCCAGACCCGUACGGGAGGCAGCAGUGGGGAAUAUUGGACAAUGGGGGCAAGCCUGAUGCAGCGACGCCGCGUGGGGGAUGACGGCCUUCGGGUUGUAGACUCCUUUCGCUAGGGACGAAGCGCAAGUGACGGUACCUGGAGAAGAAGCACCGGCUAACUACGUG